UUCCAGGCCUGGAAACUGGAUGAUUUGGAGUUGACAAAGAAAUGAAACAACAAAAAUCCACACAUUACCAAGUACCAGACUAGGAAAGCACUGUUGUGUGUGCAAGACUGAGGCCAAUCACCCAGCCAAAUUCUCCACCCACACUGAAAAAAGAGGUGCCGCUAACUGCGCUAAUCCCUUGGCAGGGAAAGAGGUGCGAUGACGGCGAGCAGCGGCAACUAAACAGAAACGCUCUCCGAUGGACAGCUGACAUCCCCUUCUCCUGGCAGCUCAUGGGAAACUUCUGCACAGCCCACCUUUUUGUCCAUUCUACAUGGACUCCACCCCGCCCACCAUCACUUCCUCAAUUCAGUCUUUCACUCAUCCUCAGGAAUGGCCACUAGAAGCCACUAUGCAGUGGCCCUGCCUGAUAGGACUGCAAGGGGCGGGGGAUGGGGAGGCCCAGGUUCCAUAAAGUACCUGGGUGUUUUCCGGCAAAGGUCCAGAGCUGUCCAGGCAUCUCACUAAAUGGACACAAUAAGGAGGUGUCCAAGGCUCAGUUUAGCUGGGACUGUGGCUGUAGGGGAAACAGGCUUUGUGGCACCUCUCCUUUGCUCUACACCUAGGGUUGCCUUAGGGGGGAGAGAGAGACUGGAGGCUGUCCUGGCAGAAGGGAUAUACACAAAGAAUAGCAGGAAUGCCAAUUUGUUCUGCACCUUGCAGACAGUAACCUUCUGGUAUCUCUAUGAGACAUUCAUUGCCCGCCUGGUGACCCUGACCAGAGGGAAACUGUACUACAAAGCAUCACAAGGGACUUGCAAUAUGACUUGUUGGCUCACUGGAAACUCAGGUGUUCCUGCAGUGGAUAAGCCUCAUUCAACACUCAGAUACUCGCCAUCAAACAUUGCUCGGGAUCCAAAAAAUAUUAUACCAUAGGACUGCCUGCAGUCUGAAAAUCUCAAUAGGACACUAAUACCUGCCCAGUAGAAUUGCCAAAAUUAAUAAGACUGAAAAUUUCAAGUUUUGGUGUAGAUAUGGAGUGAUGGAGACUCUUACAUGCUGCUGGCAAGAGUAAAAUUGGUACAACCAUUUUGGAAGAAAAUUACUUGUAGUUUGUUGAAUAUAAGUAUAACCAGUGACCUAGCAAUUUCUUUUCUAGACAUAUACUUAACAGAAAUUUAUGCAUAUAUGGGUUAAAGGACAUAUUCAAGAAUAUUUAUGAGCAGCAGUAGUAUUAUAAUGAUCUAACACUGGUAAUAAUCCAAACAACCAUCAAUAAUAAAAUAUAAUAAACUACAGAAUAUUCACAUAACAAAAUACUAUACAGCAGUAAAAACAAAAGUGAGCAGGGCUGGCGCUGUGGCACAGCAGGUAAAGCUGUCGCCUGCAGUUCUGGCAUCCCAUAUGGGUGCCGGUUCGAGUCUCGACAGCUCCAGUGAGAAAGAGAGACAGAAAGAAAGGUCUUCCUUCCAUUGGUUCACCCCACAAAUGGCGGGUGCAGGGCCCAAGCACUUGGGCCAUCCUCCACUGCCUUCCGGGGCCACAGCAGAGAGCUGGACUGGAAGAGGAGCAACUGGGACAGAAUCCUGCACCCCAGCUGGGACUAGAACCCGGAGUACCGGCGCUACAGGUGGAGGAUUAGCCUAGUGAGCCACAGCGCCGGCCGGCAGCUCCACUUCUGAACCAGCUCUUUGAGUAGAAGAUGGCCCAAGUCCUUAGUCCCCUGCACCUGCAUGGGAGACUCAGAAGACGCUCCUGGCUCCUGGCUUCGGAUAGGUGCAACUCCAGCCAUUGCAGCCAUCUGGGGAGUGAACCAGUGGAUGGAAGACCUCUCUCUCUCUCUCUCUCUCUUUCUGUCUUUGUUUCUUAUAACUCUGCCUUUCAAAUAAGUAAAAUAAAUCUUUAAAAGAAAAAAAAAUGAAUGAGCUAUGGCACUAGGCAACAACUUGGAUGCAUCUCACAAAAAUAUACCAUCAAACUAAAGAAGUCAGACACCAAAGAUACAGACCAUGCAAUUUAAUUUACUCAAAACUCUAAAACAGGCCAAAAUGAAUCAGGUGUUAGAAGUCACAGUGUGGUUACCACUGGAGGAGAAAGAGGGGUUGUUGGUGGUUUAGAAACUGGUAAAGUUCACACUUCUGGUGGAUGGCUUAGCUACAUGGGUGGUUUGACGGCAACUCACUAACACUGAGAAGUUCCAUGCUUAUAUAUAUGUAUUUAUAUUUUAAUAAAAACAGGUUUUUGUUUUACUUAAAACAAAAAUGCAUCGGUGGAGGAAAAGAGUCAGCUCAACUGUUGGCUGCAGGAGCCAUUCCUUUGUCUGAGGCACUUGGGCCCUGGGUGCGUGGAGACAGGCCAAACCUUCAUUCCGGCUCUCCAACACACUAUAUAUAGGUUUACUUAUCUAUGCUCUGUCUGGCAAGAGAUUUAAAUGAGUGUGGUUUCUUAUGACUCUCAGGCAUACUUCAGAGGUGUUCAAUAAGUGUUGGCUGAUGAGCUUCCUCUGAGCUUUGUAAAUACAGAAUUCACUCUUGGCAUGCUGUUUAUUUUAUCAGCAGUACCUAGGUGCUGUUAGGCACAUGGACUCAUAUUUAUUUAUAUAAAAGUCUACAUAUAUUCUGUAUUCAUUUAGAAAAAUGAAGCACAGAUGUAUCUGGGUGGCUGGCAACUGAACCACAUUUUUUGAGCACCAAAUAAGAAUCUGAAAUUAUAUUCAUCUAGAGGUGACCCUUCCCUGAAAAGAUUAAUUUUGUUAAUUAACUUACCCCAAAUAGCAAAUUUAAUUUGAUUUUGUUAGAAAUGACAUUAAAUAUAGGCUAUGUAAAUCCACCUAUUUAACCCUAAUAUUCCUCCUUUCCCUCUAACCUUCAAAUUGUGUUACCACCCAGGUCCUUUCUUUUAUCUUUUCCUUUUUCUUUUUAAUAUUUUUUUUAUUUAUUUGAAAGGUGGAGUUACAGA
This is a non-coding RNA of Oryctolagus cuniculus (rabbit), 2937 nucleotides long. NCBI's taxonomy places the organism in Eukaryota, Metazoa, Chordata, Mammalia, Lagomorpha, Leporidae. The record is from RefSeq and is a predicted model, not a curated record.